CUUAAUAGCUAAAAGAAACAAAUAUGUCAAUUAAGUUACAGAAGCACCAAAUCAAGGAAUUUAUUUUAGUUGUUUAUACGUUUUUGAAAAGUAAAACAUGGGAAAUACACGAAUGUGGGGUCCAUCAGAAUAUUAGUGUGUUUGGAUUAUACCUAAUGCAACUAACAUAUAUUUAAAUCGGUAUAAAUCAUCAUUGAACUGAAUUUUGAAAUUAUACUUCUC
Molecule: long non-coding RNA, 222 nt
Filed under: Panax ginseng (ginseng)
Lineage: Eukaryota; Viridiplantae; Streptophyta; Magnoliopsida; Apiales; Araliaceae
Description: long non-coding RNA (PGIN_LNC006642)
Source: RNAcentral